UACGUAGGGCGCAAGCGUUGUCCGGAAUUAUUGGGCGUAAAGAGCUCGUAGGCGGUUUGUCGCGUCUGCUGUGAAAACCUAAGGCUCAACCUUGGGCUUGCAGUGGGUACGGGCAGACUAGAGUGCGGUAGGGGUGACUGGAAUUCCUGGUGUAGCGGUGGAAUGCGCAGAUAUCAGGAGGAACACCGAUGGCGAAGGCAGGUCUCUGGGCG
This 212-nucleotide ribosomal RNA is filed under the name uncultured bacterium. RNAcentral describes it as "partial 16S ribosomal RNA". It matches the Rfam family "Bacterial small subunit ribosomal RNA", at positions 524 to 735 of the family's 1533-position model. The record is from RNAcentral.